This 425-nucleotide ribosomal RNA is filed under the name uncultured bacterium. RNAcentral's name for it is "partial 16S ribosomal RNA". It matches the Rfam family "Bacterial small subunit ribosomal RNA", at positions 354 to 796 of the family's 1533-position model. The record is from RNAcentral.
GUUAGGAAUAUUGGACAAUGGGCGCAAGCCUGAUCCAGCCAUGCCGCGUGAGUGAUGAAGGUCUUCGGGUUGUAAAGCUCUUUAGCCGAUGAUUAUAAUGACUGUAGUCGGAAAAUAAGCCCCGGCUAACUUCGUGCCAGCAGCCGCGGUAAUACGAAGGGGGCGAGCGUUAUUCGGAAUCACUGGGCGUAAAGCGUGCGUAGGCGGCUUUGCAAGUUGGGAGUGAAAGCCCAGGGCUCAACCCUGGAAUUGCUCUCAAAACUGCAAGGCUCGAAUUCGGGAGAGGAUAGCGGAAUUGUCAGUGUAGCAGUGAAAUGCGUAGAUAUUGACAGGAACACCAGUGGCGUAAGCGGCUAUCUGGACCGAUAUUGACGCUGAGGCACGAAAGCGUGGGGAUCAAACAGGAUUAGAUACCCUUGUAGUCC